AGCAGAGGGACGCCGGAAAGGUCCGGCGGUAAUGCACAAACCCGGUCCCGAGUCCGG
The submitters of this non-coding RNA (57 nucleotides) gave its source as unclassified sequences. The record is from Rfam.